AACGAGGCCGACCUGCGGCUGAGUUACCUGCGGAAGGAUCAUUAAUUAAAUUCAUUCUCUGGAAAAUUUUUCCAUUGAAUAAUUUUUACCUUUACUGUGAAUUGUAUUUUAUUAUAUGAGGGGAUGUCCGCUUUUGCUAUAAGGGUAGGCAAUUUUGGAAUGUUAACCUAAUCAUAGUCAAGCUUAGGCUUGGUACCCAAACAUUAUUAUUUACCAAAAGAAUUCAGAAUUUUAAAUUGU
Molecule: unclassified non-coding RNA, 240 nt
Filed under: soil metagenome
Description: partial contains 5.8S ribosomal RNA, internal transcribed spacer 2, and large subunit ribosomal RNA
Source: RNAcentral